GAUGAAGAACGUAGCGAAAUGCGAUAAGUAGUGUGAAUUGCAGAAUUCAGUGAAUCAUCGAAUCUUUGAACGCACAUUGCGCCUCCUGGCAUUCCGGGAGGCAUGUCUGUUCGAGCGUCAUCAAACCCCAUCGUGCAAAUGAAUUAUUUUUUUUGCGCGGAAGUGACGAUUGAGCGAGAAUAACAAAUCCUCUCGCACCUCGUCGAAAUGAUUGCGGGCGGAAUUUGGGAUCGGGUUCCUCGGCGUAGUGUAUCAAUGCAUAUUUAUGCAACUUGCCGCGGAGUUGAGCCUGACCCACGCGUUCUCGCCGUACAAACACCUCAUUACUUUACAAGUUUUUGACCUCGGAUCAGGUAGGGAUACCCGCUGAACUUAAGCAUAUCAAUAAGCGGAGGA
RNAcentral lists this unclassified non-coding RNA (396 nucleotides) under soil metagenome. RNAcentral's name for it is "partial contains 5.8S ribosomal RNA, internal transcribed spacer 2, and large subunit ribosomal RNA". The stretch from base 1 to 120 matches the Rfam family "5.8S ribosomal RNA", at positions 35 to 154 of the family's 154-position model. The record is from RNAcentral.